This 436-nucleotide long non-coding RNA is filed under the name Androctonus crassicauda. Lineage: Eukaryota; Metazoa; Arthropoda; Arachnida; Scorpiones; Buthidae. The record is from RNAcentral.
GUUGUGGUACAGGUGUGGGUUAGAGCACUAAUUAUUGAGGAGGUACUUCCACGGGUUACUCAGAGAUUCCAGUUGUUUAUCAUUGAUGAUCAGCGCCUGUUUUUUGCGUUUGUAUAUUUGUAAGGUUUCUGCUAUAGGGAGGUCUUCGGUGGAGUGCACUGGUUUAAUUAUUCUUGAAUCUUCCCAAUGGAUACUGGUGUCAUCUUCAUACGCUCGUUUGGCCGGAGCUGUUGUUAAUUUAGCAGUAGUGGUGUCCCUUUUAUGCUCUUUGGGCCUGUCCUCCAGGUUCCUUGCUGUUGCUCCCACGUAGAAUUCUUCUGUCCCUCUUUGCUGGUCGUGGAGGGGAGUCUGGUGUGCCCCCGUUUUUUGACAUUCACUUCUCCUAUCCUUUUCGUUCCGCAACAUGUUAAAAAUCGUGGGGGGUCUCUUGUAGGCG